GACAGGAAGCAUUUUUUAAAAUGUUGCUCAUCUCCUGUCUCUAGGCGCCAUUGUAUCCACUGUCUGAUGAGAUGACCAACAGCUGGGACUUGUAUAGGUAGCUGGCCCAACUUAUUUUCUGACUUGAGCCCCUCUUCAUCUUCCAAUGCUCUCUGAAUGACUGACUGUAGAAUGGAAAGAGAGUAGCCUAACAAGGCAGGGAAUGGAAAAGAAGAUUCAACUCCUGGCUUCCCGGAGGAGGCAGAGUGGAAGGAGGUGAAGACAGGGAAGCAAAAGAAGAUUAUGAAGAACCUUGAAUGGACAGUGAGAGGAACUGCCACCUGGUUGCCCAGUCUUCAUGUUGCUGAGAUUUCCCCCAAGACAAAAAUCUUCACAAAGUGUCUAAGGGCCUGCUCCAGCACCCAGUGAAACCAAGUGAAAGAUUGCCAUUGACACGGGUCUUGGUUAGGAACCCCCUUGCUUUAGUAAGCACGUAGAGGUGCAAUGUAAUCUGUCACCAGUUCUGUACCAAGGCUUUUUAUUCCCAACUUUGUAUCUGAGACAGUCACUUUAUUGAGAGCAAAUGAAAGGUGUGUGAGACAUGGACAACUGAAGGUUACCUCAAAGGAAAUUCAGGAGGCUGCUGCCUAGCAGGGAAGUGUGACACUAAGCUCCCCGUCUUCAUACCCUACUGACUGUUAUAAUCUGUAUCUAAACAGUAUCAUGUAAUACAUCAUUGGGGAGCUUAUAACUCCCUGGUUAUUAAUAUCAUUAUGUAAUGUACAUGCAAUGAAUUGAGGCAAAGUUAUGGAUGUAAACUGAAAUUAUAAUUCUUAAAAUGUGUUUCCAGUCAAAUAGGAGUUACCCCACCCUAAACAAAGGAAUGUGGUUUCUCCACAGGCCAGUUACUUCCAAAGUACUUUGAAAGACAAUGAGAAUUCAUUUUAUAUAUGAGAUAUACAAAACUAUCAAGCUAACAAGUUGGGGGAGGAGACAGUGUGGCUACACCCCAGCAGGGAAGAGAAACUUCAUCUGAGAUAUAUAGAAGGGGAAGGGUAGGAGGGCCAAACCUCAAACAAUUGAAUCAAUUGAUUGAACACACUAAUAUUGUAUCAUCUAAGGUCUUUGGUGAUUAAUAUCGUUGUGAAAUGUCUGUAUUAAACACAAUAGGAGGAAUUAUGAAUA
Molecule: long non-coding RNA, 1164 nt
Organism: Mauremys reevesii (Reeves's turtle)
Lineage: Eukaryota; Metazoa; Chordata; Testudines; Geoemydidae
Exons: 2
Source: RefSeq, a predicted model, not a curated record